UUCGCUGCUGCUCACUGCUGCCAUUAGGCAGCAGUCCCUUUUUCCCUGCCCCUUGCUUUGAUAAUUUAUAACAUGCACUUUAGUUAUUUUAACACCUAAGAGAUGGUACACUCUUUUAACUAUCAUUCUACAUUAUUACAUCAUUUAUAUGAAUUCACUUGCUUGCAAACACCGCUACUUGUGGCAGACUGUUGCAGUCAAUGGCCAACAACCCCCUUUCGUUUUUUUUCUUGUUAUGUUAACUUUUCAUUUCUCGCGACUUUGAUUUAUUCAUGUUGAAAUUUAGCUACUAUAUGGGUGAUAUAUCCACC
RNAcentral lists this long non-coding RNA (311 nucleotides) under Panax ginseng (ginseng). Its description in RNAcentral is "long non-coding RNA (PGIN_LNC001176)". The record is from RNAcentral. Lineage: Eukaryota; Viridiplantae; Streptophyta; Magnoliopsida; Apiales; Araliaceae.